GCAAAGGAACAGGGACAGAUCCGGUGGGUGGGGAGGAACGGAAAGGACAUGAGGAGAGCACUCGACUGGCAGAUCUAGGAGAAACACGAGCGGCGGCGGUUCUGGAGGCGGAGGAAGGAGCAACGGUGCAAAGGGACAAGGAACAAGCAGAGCCAUGGAAGAAAGGAAGAGGAGGGAGAAAGAGAAGUGUUCUCGUCGGUGGGCGAGAGGCCACACCGACGGCGGCGAAGACGUUCACAGGAAAACCCUAAUCGGGUUGGGAGAGAAAAAGUUUUUUUUUUUAAGUG
Molecule: long non-coding RNA, 287 nt
Filed under: Brassica napus (rape)
Lineage: Eukaryota; Viridiplantae; Streptophyta; Magnoliopsida; Brassicales; Brassicaceae
Description: long non-coding RNA (BNAP_LNC024687)
Source: RNAcentral